CUGGGUUGGGAUGAGUGGCGAACGGGUGAGUAACACGUGAGUAACCUGCCCUCUUCUUUGGGAUAACGGUCGGAAACGGCUGCUAAUACCGGGUAUUCACUGUCCUUCGCAUGGGGGGUGGGUGGAAAGGUUUUUUCUGGUGGGGGAUGGGCUCGCGGCCUAUCAGCUUGUUGGUGGGGUGAUGGCUUACCAAGGCUUUGACGGGUAACCGGCCUGAGAGGGUGACCGGUCACAUUGGGACUGAGAUACGGCCCAG
Molecule: ribosomal RNA, 256 nt
Filed under: uncultured bacterium
Lineage: Bacteria
Description: partial 16S ribosomal RNA
Rfam family: Bacterial small subunit ribosomal RNA
Source: RNAcentral